GGCUCACUUCAGCUUCAGAGCUC
This 23-nucleotide small nuclear RNA is filed under the name Arabidopsis thaliana (thale cress). RNAcentral describes it as "snRNA_09091". Lineage: Eukaryota; Viridiplantae; Streptophyta; Magnoliopsida; Brassicales; Brassicaceae. The record is from RNAcentral.